This 635-nucleotide ribosomal RNA is filed under the name uncultured bacterium. Its description in RNAcentral is "bacterial SSU rRNA". The stretch from base 1 to 542 matches the Rfam family "Bacterial small subunit ribosomal RNA", at positions 338 to 873 of the family's 1533-position model. The record is from RNAcentral.
CCUACGGGAGGCAGCAGUGGGGAAUUUUGGACAAUGGGCGCAAGCCUGAUCCAGCAAUGCCGCGUGAGUGAAGAAGGCCUUCGGGUUGUAAAGCUCUUUUGUCAGGGAAGAAACGGCCUGCUCUAAUACAGCGGGCUAAUGACGGUACCUGAAGAAUAAGCACCGGCUAACUACGUGCCAGCAGCCGCGGUAAUACGUAGGGUGCAAGCGUUAAUCGGAAUUACUGGGCGUAAAGCGUGCGCAGGCGGUUUUGUAAGUUUGUCGUGAAAUCCCCGGGCUCAACCUGGGAAUGGCGAUGAAGACUGCAAGGCUAGAGUUUGGCAGAGGGGGGUAGAAUUCCACGUGUAGCAGUGAAAUGCGUAGAUAUGUGGAGGAACACCGAUGGCGAAGGCAGCCCCCUGGGUCAAAACUGACGCUCAUGCACGAAAGCGUGGGGAGCAAACAGGAUUAGAUACCCUGGUAGUCCACGCCCUAAACGAUGUCUACUAGUUGUCGGGUCUUAAUUGACUUGGUAACGCAGCUAACGCGUGAAGUAGACCGCCUGGGGGAGGUACGGUCGCGAAGAGUAAACUUACAAAUAGUUAAGUUAGUAGGCGUUGAGACGUUGCCGACGGACGACGACGAGGGAGGAGGNG